RNAcentral lists this ribosomal RNA (429 nucleotides) under Acidobacteriota bacterium. RNAcentral describes it as "Acidobacteria bacterium partial 16S ribosomal RNA". It matches the Rfam family "Bacterial small subunit ribosomal RNA", at positions 355 to 776 of the family's 1533-position model. Lineage: Bacteria; Pseudomonadati; Acidobacteriota. The record is from RNAcentral.
UGGGGAAUUUUGGACAAUGGGGGAAACCCUGAUCCAGCCAUCCCGCGUGUGCGAUGAAGGCCUUCGGGUUGUAAAGCACUUUUGGCAGGAAAGAAACGUCAUGGGUUAAUACCCCGUGAAACUGACGGUACCUGCAGAAUAAGCACCGGCUAACUACGUGCCAGCAGCCGCGGUAAUACGUAGGGUGCAAGCGUUAAUCGGAAUUACUGGGCGUAAAGCGUGCGCAGGCGGUUCGGAAAGAAAGAUGUGAAAUCCCAGAGCUCAACUUUGGAACUGCAUUUUAAACUACCGGGCUAGAGUGUGUCAAAGGGAGGUGGAAUUCCGCGUGUAGCAGUGAAAUGCGUAGAUAUGCGGAGGAACACCGAUGGCGAAGGCAGCCUCCUGGGAUAACACUGACGCUCAUGCACGAACGCGUGGGGAGCAAACAGG